GGUCGGGGGGCAGAGCAGGCGCCACCCAGGGCCCUGCUCCCUGCACCCCCCUCGUCCACACAUGAGAACUUCGAGUCUGGAAAACGGCCCAGCACCCACUUCCUAGGGAGCGCACGUGUGAGGCCAGCAGGACCAGGCAGCUGGUGGGAAGAAGACCCUGUGAGCUCAGACUGUCCUUUCCGGGGGGGAGGUGGUCCCUGGAGCAACCAGAGCUCUAAAACAUCUUCACUCGUGGCCUCUUCAGGGACGAAGAGCUGGUUCUUCCACGGGCUCAGCUUUGAAGUGUUCAUUUGCACACACAGGACCAGCCAGGAGCAUCGCAGCCAAAGGCCGUCUCCAUCCGAGUGUUGCUUGUUUUUGAGCCCGGAGUCUCUUCCUUGGGGACAGACCCCUCUCAGCCCUCGACACCUGCUGUGUGUUUCGCACUUACAGCCUUUCAGGCUGGACCGGCCGCAUUUUGAGGGCCCAGCGGCCGUCUGCCUGAGUCAGCGCGGACCUAAAGCAAACUGCACCGCCAAACUCGGCUCCUCUGUUGUCCAGGACCCUGCUGAGGCCACGGGUCUGAGCAUCCUCCUCUCGGCGCUCAGUGUGCUAUGAGCAUCUCUGCAAUAAAAGCACCUUCGAAGGACA
Molecule: long non-coding RNA, 630 nt
Filed under: Sus scrofa (pig)
Lineage: Eukaryota; Metazoa; Chordata; Mammalia; Artiodactyla; Suidae
Description: lncRNA (ENSSSCG00060077080.1)
Source: RNAcentral